This 2237-nucleotide ribosomal RNA is filed under the name metagenome. RNAcentral's name for it is "bacterial LSU rRNA". It matches the Rfam family "Bacterial large subunit ribosomal RNA", at positions 706 to 2925 of the family's 2925-position model. The record is from RNAcentral.
GGUAUAGACCCGAAACCCGGUGAUCUAGCCAUGGGCAGGUUGAAGGUUGGGUAACACUAACUGGAGGACCGAACCGACUAAUGUUGAAAAAUUAGCGGAUGACUUGUGGCUGGGGGUGAAAGGCCAAUCAAACCGGGAGAUAGCUGGUUCUCCCCGAAAUCUAUUUAGGUAGAGCCUUGAGCGGACACCUUCGGGGGUAGAGCACUGUUUCGGCUAGGGGUCCAUCCCGGAUUACCAACCCGAUGCAAACUACGAAUACCGAAGAGUGAUACUCAGGAGACACACGGCGGGUGCUAACGUCCGUCGUGGAGAGGGAAACAACCCAGACCGCCAGCUAAGGUCCCAAAGUCUAUAUUAAGUGGGAAACGAAGUGGGAAGGCUUAGACAGCUAGGAUGUUGGCUUAGAAGCAGCCAUCAUUUAAAGAAAGCGUAAUAGCUCACUAGUCGAGUCGGCCUGCGCGGAAGAUGUAACGGGGCUCAAAUAUAGCACCGAAGCUGCGGCAUCAGUAGCAAUACUGUUGGGUAGGGGAGCGUUCUGUAAGCGGAUGAAGGUGAAUCGAGAGGUUUGCUGGACGUAUCAGAAGUGCGAAUGCUGACAUAAGUAACGAUAAAACGGGUGAAAAACCCGUUCGCCGGAAGACCAAGGGUUCCUGUCCAACGUUAAUCGGGGCAGGGUGAGUCGGCCCCUAAGGCGAGGCUGAAAAGCGUAGUCGAUGGGAAACGGGUUAAUAUUCCCGUACUUGGAUAAACUGCGAUGUGGGGACGGAGCAGGUUAGGUUAUCGCACUGUUGGAUAUGUGCGUUUAAGUUGGUAGGUGUGAAGUUUAGGCAAAUCCGGACUUCUUUAACACUGAGAGAUGAUGACGAGGCUCUACGGAGCUGAAGUAACCGAUACCACACUUCCAGGAAAAGCCACUAAGCUUCAGGUUUAUCUAAACCGUACUGAAAACCGACACAGGUGGUCAGGUAGAGAAUACUCAGGCGCUUGAGAGAACUCGGGUGAAGGAACUAGGCAAAAUAGCACCGUAACUUCGGGAGAAGGUGCGCCGGCGUAGAUUGUAGUCCCUUGCGGAUGAAGGUUGAACCGGUCGAAGAUACCAGCUGGCUGCAACUGUUUAUUAAAAACACAGCACUCUGCAAACACGAAAGUGGACGUAUAGGGUGUGAUGCCUGCCCGGUGCUGGAAGGUUAAUUGAUGGUGUAAUCGAAAGAGAAGCUCCUGAUCGAAGCCCCAGUAAACGGCGGCCGUAACUAUAACGGUCCUAAGGUAGCGAAAUUCCUUGUCGGGUAAGUUCCGACCUGCACGAAUGGCAUAAUGAUGGCCAGGCUGUCUCCACCCGAGACUCAGUGAAAUUGAAAUCGCCGUGAAGAUGCGGUGUACCCGCGGCUAGACGGAAAGACCCCGUGAACCUUUACUAUAGCUUGACACUGAACAUUGAAUUUUGAUGUGUAGGAUAGGUGGGAGACUUUGAAGUAGUCACGCCAGUGAUUAUGGAGUCGUCCUUGAAAUACCACCCUUUAACGUUUGAUGUUCUAACGAAGAUUACGAAACGUGGUCUCGGACAGUGUCUGGUGGGUAGUUUGACUGGGGCGGUCUCCUCCCAAAGAGUAACGGAGGAGCACGAAGGUUUGCUAAUGACGGUCGGACAUCGUCAGGUUAGUGCAAUGGUAUAAGCAAGCUUAACUGCGAGACAGACAAGUCGAGCAGGUACGAAAGUAGGUCAUAGUGAUCCGGUGGUUCUGAAUGGAAGGGCCAUCGCUCAACGGAUAAAAGGUACUCCGGGGAUAACAGGCUGAUACCGCCCAAGAGUUCAUAUCGACGGCGGUGUUUGGCACCUCGAUGUCGGCUCAUCACAUCCUGGGGCUGAAGUAGGUCCCAAGGGUAUGGCUGUUCGCCAUUUAAAGUGGUACGCGAGCUGGGUUUAGAACGUCGUGAGACAGUUCGGUCCCUAUCUGCCGUGGGCGUUGGAGAAUUGAUUGGGGCUGCUCCUAGUACGAGAGGACCGGAGUGGACGCACCACUGGUGUUCCGGUUGUGUCGCCAGACGCAUUGCCGGGUAGCUAAGUGCGGAAGAGAUAAGUGCUGAAAGCAUCUAAGCACGAAACUUGCCAAGAGAUGAGUUCUCCCUGUCUUUAAGACAGUAAGGGUUGUUUAAGACUAAGACGUAGAUAGGUCUGGUGUGUAAGCGGUGCGAGCCGUUGAGCUAACAGAUACUAAUUGCCCGAGAGGCUUAACUAU